RNAcentral lists this ribosomal RNA (160 nucleotides) under Hypocreales sp. RNAcentral describes it as "partial large subunit ribosomal RNA". Lineage: Eukaryota; Fungi; Ascomycota; Sordariomycetes; Hypocreales. The record is from RNAcentral.
CGGCAACAGCUCAAAUUUGAAAUCUGGCGCAAGCCCGAGUUGUAAUUUGUAGAGGAUGUUUCUGGCGACGUGCCUUCCGAGUUCCCUGGAACAGGACGUCAUAGAGGGUGAGAAUCCCGUAUGUGAUCGGUCGCCUUCGCCCGUGUAAAGCUCGUUCGAC